UGUGGCGUUGCCCAGACAACUAGGAUGUUGGCUUAGAAGCAGCCAUCAUUUAAAGAGUGCGUAAUAGCUCACUAGUCGAGUGACACUGCGCCGAAAAUGUACCGGGGCUAAACAUAUUACCGAAGCUGUGGAUUGUCCUUUGGACAAUGGUAGGAGAGCGUUCUAAGGGCGUUGAAGCAUGAUCGUAAGGACAUGUGGAGCGCUUAGAAGUGAGAAUGCCGGUGUGAGUAGCGAAAGACGGGUGAGAAUCCCGUCCACCGAUUGACUAAGGUUUCCAGAGGAAGGCUCGUCCGCUCUGGGUUAGUCGGGUCCUAAGCUGAGGCCGACAGGCGUAGGCGAUGGAUAACAGGUUGAUAUUCCUGUACCACCUAUAAUCGUUUUAAUCGAUGGGGGGACGCAGUAGGAUAGGCGAAGCGUGCGAUUGGAUUGCACGUCUAAGCAGUAAGGCUGAGUAUUAGGCAAAUCCGGUACUCGUUAAGGCUGAGCUGUGAUGGGGAGAAGACAUUGUGUCUUCGAGUCGUUGAUUUCACACUGCCGAGAAA
Molecule: ribosomal RNA, 542 nt
Filed under: Staphylococcus aureus
Lineage: Bacteria; Bacillati; Bacillota; Bacilli; Caryophanales; Staphylococcaceae
Description: partial 23S ribosomal RNA
Rfam family: Bacterial large subunit ribosomal RNA
Source: RNAcentral